CUGAGUUGCUUAGUGCCUUGCCUUUGCUGAGGCUGGCUUUGAACUCGUGAUCCUCCUGCCUCAGCCUCCUGAGCUGCUGGAAUGACAGGUGUGCACUACCAAGCCCGCCAACUUGUUCCCUUUCAUCAAGGGGCUAAUGCAGCUGGACCCAAGCCCCUGACUCAGCCAAGGGGCCUGGUUGACCCAGGUCUCUGGCAGAGUUGAGCUCAGGGAUGGAGACAGAGGGAGUGGGAGCUAACGAAGGAGGUUCUGGAGGCCUUGUGUGUGCGCAGGAGUCUGAGGAAGGGGGUGGGGAGCUGGAUGGUUGCUUCUAGUUCGCGUUCCUCAGGUGAUCCCGGCUGGCAGUCACCCUGAAGGACUAGCCCGUGGAUGUCCAGCCCUGGGUCUGGGUCAGCCACUGGUCAGCAAUUGUCCCAUUUUGCUUCCUUCCUAGUAGGACUGUCACUCAGCACUGGGGUGAUAGAGCAGCUGAGGGGACAAAGGGGGACCUGGCAGCAGGAAGGGGAGCAGGGGACAGAGGCUGUUCACCCUGCAGGGUGGGAGGAUCAGAGCCCCUCAGGCCUCGUGGAUGAAGUUUGUAUCUGCCCCCCCAUCCCCCCCCCAUGGGGGAAGCAAAAGCACAGGAAACCCACUGGGAGAAACUGAGGCAGGAAGGCAGAAGCAGCCAGCAGGAAAGAGACCUGGGAGAGGCCUGACCCUGGAGCUGUGGGUGCUGACCCCCUGGGGCAGGGGAAGGCAAAGCUCCAGGUUUGGGGGGGUGGCUGGGCCCCAGGUCUCUGUUUCCACAGGGGGAGAAUUUUGGACUCUGUUGCACUGGGUGCUGGUGGGGGAGAAGGCCCAGCUUCCUUUGUGUCCCUUCUGGGGGGCAGGUGGGACCUCUCAAGCCCAGGGUCCCUCCCCUUCUCCACCUCAGCUCCAGGGGCCCUCACUCUCCCCCUGCCCCCUCCCACCCCCUGACUCCGGACCAGGGGCAGCAACUUUUUCCUAGGACAAUGGGCCACCAGAUGUCAGCCUCAGGAGGACUCAGCUCUGUCCUGGGGGGGGACUGAGGGGACACUGAGGCCCUGUGGGAGCUUUGGCUCCGAUUCACAGAGAUGAGCUGGCCCACUUCCUUCAGCCACCACCGUGAACCGUGGCUCUGCCCCAUCCACAGAGGCCAGUCGUGUCUGGGUUUUGGUUUCCUGAUUUUACCCUGGGAGGAGGGGGACAGAUCCAGAUGCCCCUUUUCAUUCCCAACACUAUGUAGGGGAGAAGUAAGGCUUUGACCCUGGGGGAUCAGGGGGGCGCAGGAAGCCUGUGUCAGGACCUUUCUGGGGGUGGGUCAUUUCUGUAUGGUGCUCUUUUGACUUGUCGCUAUCUGUGGGACAGAAAUGAUGACUCCAAUUUCACACGGGAGGAAAAUCAGACUCAGAAAGGUGAGUUAACCUAAGGGCAUUCUGCUGGUGAGUGGAGGAAACCAGGAUUCGAAUCCAGGGCUGGCCCUAAAGUCUGGGCUCCUUCCACGCUGCUGUGUCCAUGGGGUGAGGAGUGGGGAUGGAGGGAGGGUCUGUUCCCUGUCUCCUCCUUCGGGGCCUAGGGAGAGGGGCAUGGGCCAGGAGGCUGGGGACCGCUGGGACACAGUGGGGCAGGCACCCGGAGAACCUAGAUGGGACCCUGACACUCUACCUGCAUGAUAUGGGGCAAGCCCCUUCUCUCUGAGCCACAUGUAAGUGGUGGCUGGAGGUGUCUCCUGGAUGUGUGGUGGGUGAGCGGAAAAACCAAAUGCGGGGGAAGGAAGCCGCCUUCUAACUGGCGGCAGCUCUGGCUCAGGACAGAGGCCCUCCAGGACCUCGCUCCGGAAUCUCCGUCCCUCUCAGCCCAUCUAGAUGGAGUCCCCAGCCUUCCCCAGACACCAGGCAGAGACGGACCAAUCCACUGGCGGUGUGCAGUGCGUGCUGCGUGCGUACUGGUGGCCCCAGCUGGCUGCAGGUCACACCCGGGCGUUCCCUCCCCUGCGGAGUCACCUGAGAUCUCUCUAUCCCAGCAGGGCAGUCCCUGCUCAGUUGGGACCCUGCAGCCCUGCUCAACUAGAAUUCCUUGGCUUCUGCUGGUGUCUCUCUGGAGCUGCAUUUUUAGUCUGUGAGUUUCUCAUUUCCCUUCUGCCUUCCCAAAAGGAGGAGUUUGUUCCAGUGAUCCUUGCUGUGUGGCCUUUGGAAUGUGGCUUUGCCUCUCUGGACAUUAUUCUGGAUUAAAAAAAAAAAAAAAAAGAUUGGACUCAUUGGAUCAGGUGUCUGAAAGGGUGGUCUGUGGGCAGCCCAUCUGUGUGUCAUCUCCAGGACUCCAGUCUGUGUGUCAUCUCCAGGACUCGUAAAAAUGACGAAGAGCUGGGCCCAUUCUUAGAUGAACUGCCUACAGAUCUCUUGAGAUGGGAUGUGGGAAUCUGCACUCUUAUCUAUCUAUUAAUCAAUCUACCAAUCUACCUAUCAGCAUUGGGAAUGGACCUCAGGGCCUUGCACGUUAGGCAAGUGCUCUGCCACGGAGCUACAUCCCCAGCCCUGUGUUUAAAUAGGUUCCCCAUGGGACUCUUGCGCACAGAGCCUGCUGAUCUGAAGACACCUAUCUGUCACCUCCCCCCUGGGUUGUCAGAGGUGGUCUUAAAGCUACGAAUAUUGUCCUCUGUGUUAGUCAACUCUUGUCCCUUCUUCCCUCCCUUCUCUGGCACUGGGGACUGAACUUGGGGAUGCUCUACCAUUGGACUAUACUUUUUAUUUUUCACUUUGAGACAAGGUCUUGCCAAGUUGCUGAGGCUCUGCUCUGUUCCUCUCCAUUCUGGGGUCCACGCUGAAGAGGAGCCCCCACCUGAGACGUGUUCUUCUGAUGGCAAGGAAGAGAGCGGGAACCAUGGUGCAGGCACAUGACCCUCCUGACGGUUUUGCUUGGACGUGGAACAUGUCCCUUCUGUUCACCAAAAUGUGUCAUGUUCUCAAUUCAAUGUCCGAGGGGUGGGAAGUGCACUUGUCCUGCAGGAUGGACACCCAGGAGAGAGCCUGCAGGGACGGUCAAAGAGAAACCCAGGGGCAUUGUAGUACACUGUCCUGCGCCCUCCAGGCUUGGUCUGGGGUCUUGUUUGGCCCAGGCAGGGAGGAACGGGGCUGCUGUCCUACAGAGUUGGGCCACCUAGUACACACAUGCCUCUCCACGGCCGGCCACCUACUGCUUCCCCUACCCACUCUGAGCCCCUGGCCUUGCUCCCGGGUCCUUCAGUGGGGACUGUCUCCUUGUUUCUGCCUCCCUGCUCGGGAACCUGCAGACACCCACCCUGCAUCCUCCAGGGAUCUGCUCUAACAAUCAGAAUCCUUCUCUAAAAUGGUCCUUUAUCCUCUAAAUGCAGAGGGGAAAUUUAGACUGCAAGUAUGGGACUUUCUUACAUAAGAGAACUCAUGUCAUUUUCCUCUUUGGCUGGUAUUGUUCUUGUGUUCAAGCUCACAUCAGCCCGACUCUCAGAGAGGUUGAAUUCUUUCCCCUGGACACACAGCAUGUUGUUUCCAGAGCUGCAUUGCCACCAAGUUCUGCAUGUGUCUGAGUGGCAUCUUCAGAAAGCCUGCUUGAUGUCUAGGGGUCCUUUGUGCGGGACCCACUGCACUGACUUGGAUAUCAAUGGCACAAGUCUGGCUCUUAGGGGCCGUGCUAUCUGGAGACACAGAAACACUCAAAUAUACUCUGCAUACAAACCUCUUCCUGAACUGGACAAUAUGGAUCACGUGAUGACCCAGAAGGAGCAAGAGUCUUAAGUCUUGGGUUCAAAUCCAAGUUUGGCCCUGAACUGGAUAUGCUGCUUCUUAAAUCUGGGACUCAGUUUCUCUGACUGUCAAAGAUAGGUUUUUGCUCAGCCCAUCUGAGAUGCCUUCCAGGGGAUUAGAGUGGGCAAGGUUAACCCACUGGCAUGGUUCUCACAAGCUGUUGAUUCUACAUUGGUGUGGGAAGGAGGCUGAUGGAAACCCACACACUCAAACUGACUUAAGCAAAAUAAGUUAUUGACUGCUGAUGAGGCCAGGCUGACUGCUUUCUUAGGCAUGAUCUCUCCUCAUGGUGACAAGAUGGCUGCCAGUAGCACUAGGUCCCUGUUCUGAUGGUUCAGCAACCUGGAGAAAGGAAGCAUCUCCCUUCUAUUAGUAAUACUCUGCUCCUUCCCAGCUGUGACCCGGAGCCAAUCCCCUAUUGUCUGAUCCAUUUCUGGGGAUGGAGUGAAAAAGUGUAAGUACUGGCCCCAACCCAGCUCUCUGAAGAGGCUCUGGCAAGACUUCCCUUCUCCGCCUAAAACCUCCCCUGGCACACAGAAUUUGUGCUGUGUUCUUGAACUGACAUCUUUUCUUUCUUUGGUCCAGAGGAUUGAACCCAGGGGCACUUAACCACUGAGCCACUUCCUCAGCCCUUUUUUAUAUUUUAUUUAGAGACAGGGUCUUGCUGAGUGGCUGAGGCUGGCUUUGCUCUUCCUGCCCAGCCUCCCUAUCUGCUGGGAUCACAGGCCUGUGCCACCGCACCCAGCUGAAUUGAUACGUUUUCUAUGUCUUCUCUGAUGGCCUUUGAUUGGGGGCAGGGCUAUGCCACAUUUGUGCCCACUCUGUGGUCACCCCAUCCACAAAUGCCCCUCGAAUGAAGUAACAGGGAGGAGUUGGCUGGGUCCUCUGCCCACUGUUGCCAUGUACCCGGGACCUGGCUGCAGCUGGACGCUCUUCAGCAUCUGCUCUUCCCGAUGCCCAGGCCGUAGCCAGGUGUCACACGUGUACCCAAUUCCCAAAGCAUAGACCAAGCGUCCACUUCAAAUUUUCCGGGGAAGGCAGGAGAGCGGAUGAGGCCACGCCCACACUCCCGUCAAUCAGGCCACGUGGGGCUCCUCCCCGCCUUCUUGGCUGCCUCCCUCCCUAGCAGCGCUCUGUGGUUCCUCUUCAGUUCCAUUUUCUUAAAUCAAACCCGACUGUCAUUUUGCAUCCCCAGGACAGCAAAACACCUCCAGGCCCGCCCUUCUCCUGGGCUCAUUCCACCUGCUCAUACCUACCUUUGCACUAUGGGACCCCUUGACCCCCACCCAGGCCUCAGUGCCCCUGCACACCCACCAGCCCCUCCAGCUGCUGCUCCAUGGCGUUUAGAGAGGAGACUUGACUGGCCCAUGUCAUCCCAGCUCCUGUGCAGGGCUCCUCCCACUCUGCCCCCUCCCAGGGCCCAGUUGCCCCUGUGGGUGGGCGACGUGGGGGUGGGGCAGGAUCGCUUGGGGCUGGCCUCCCUGGUGAAGCUGGGGGUGCUGCACACACUGAUUUCAGACGUGGCUCUGAGCGGGCGGUUCAUUCAUUCCUGACCGUAUUGACUGCAGAAUUGAGCGCUACAAGUAGGUAGUUUAGCUAUUAUUCUCCCACUGAUUUGAUUUAAUGUUUGGUUUAUUCCUGUUCCUCUCCCCCCUCCUCUCCUCAUCAGGGUGACAUUUGCAUAGUGUUUCCCUUCAGUUUUGUGGAACACAUGGUUUUCUGGUAACUCCCUGCUUUGGCUUGAAUGAUUUUCUUUGGGGAACCCCUGGGGGGUGCAUGGAAGCACCAUCUUCCUCCUGGACCCUGCCUUUGUGUUCUUUUCCCCACAGGGAGAAACACGUGAGGGACCAUAUGUCCCUGCUUCUUGGCCUCUGGGAGCCCAUGAAAUUCCUGCUGCCUGUGGCCUUCAAGUAUUCCUGAGCAUCCUGGGACGGAGGGCAGGGGUCCCAGCAUGCCCAUGAAGGAGCCUGCACCCUGUGGGUAACCUCUGCCCUCCCACCCAGCACCUCUUCCAGAGCCCCACAGUGAGGUCAGGCAGCACCUCUUCUGAGAACUCAACAUACCUCCUUUGGGCUCCCAGAGGACUUUGUGUCCCAGCACAGAACUCACCACACUGGAUGGAGAGUGUCAGUCUAAGUCUGUUUUCAAACUCUUCUCCAAGAGUUGCAGCUAUGCUCCCCUGAGUCCCGUGGGCCCUCAGCAUCCACUUCUGGAUCAGCCUGAUGCUCCAUUGACUGCACACGAACUGGGACCAGGCUCCUGCAAGGGAGGAUGCAGGGUAGACUCCAGCCAGAACUUCCCAGACACCGAUGGUCUGAGUACACAGAACUGGAAUUGUGAACCAAGGACGAGAAGAGGGCAUCCUAGGGCAGAAGGGAGGUCACUGAAGGCGAAGAGCAUAGGGACAGAAGCCACUGGGAGGCAUCGCUGUAGCAGAUUGUCAGAGAGGAGGGGAGGGGUUUUGUUGUGACGUUGUCUUCAGACAAUGGCAGUUACCUGUAAAGAAACCAACCAUGAUACAACUACAGCCCAAAUGGAAAUGACUGAAGAAGAACAAGAAACGUGUGUCUCAAGGCUGUGCGCGUGUCAACACGAGCAGACUAAUUCAGGCGGGCGUGCCGAACACGCUGGGGGAGAGCCGGGUUGACUAUCAUUAUUCUUUGUUUCUCUUUUCUUGUCUGAUGAAAAAUUUGCAAUUUCUACACUGUCACAAAGCAAUCAAAACCGUGAUUAAGUUUCACAAUUUUGACAGCUAGUUUCAUGUGCUUUAAGUAGCUCUGUCCUGUUUUCGACAAUUUGAACAAUUUGUGUUUCCUAGGAAUUUGAAGAAGAUCACCAAGGUCUUCCCUUCCCACUACCCCAGUCUCGAGAGCAACCCAUUCAGCGGGUGAGGGGGUUGAACUUUGCUCUGAGUGUGUUGUGCAUGGGAACUCAUUGACUCCUCAUGAGAACUGAUGGAGGUCCAUGAUCGGCAUCCCCCACCCGCCAUGUACCUGAGGGAGGCUGGAGACCGAGCCUCAGUUGGUGCUGUAUUGGCUCUGUGCUCCGGGGUGACUGUGAGGGUGACAGGUUCAUUCACAAUUUGCAGAUGGAGAACUGGAAUCUCAGAGAGGUCCAGCAGCAGGCCACGCAGCCGGAAGUGCCAGGACAAGAGCCUACAGUCUUUUCCCCAUGCCCCAGUUCCUGCCUGGAACCUAGGUCUGAGAGGGAACAGCAAGGACAAUUCCCUCGAUCCCCAAUAAACACAGCCUUUGAAAUGG
Ictidomys tridecemlineatus (thirteen-lined ground squirrel) is the source of this 7039-nucleotide non-coding RNA. NCBI's taxonomy places the organism in Eukaryota, Metazoa, Chordata, Mammalia, Rodentia, Sciuridae. The record is from RefSeq and is a predicted model, not a curated record.